Molecule: ribosomal RNA, 460 nt
Filed under: uncultured bacterium
Lineage: Bacteria
Description: partial 16S ribosomal RNA
Rfam family: Bacterial small subunit ribosomal RNA
Source: RNAcentral
CCUACGGGUGGCAGCAGUGAGGAAUAUUGGUCAAUGGACGAGAGUCUGAACCAGCCAAGUAGCGUGAAGGAUGACUGCCCUAUGGGUUGUAAACUUCUUUUAUAAAGGAAUAAAACGAGGCACGUGUGCCUUUUUGUCUGUACUUUAUGAAUAAGGAUCGGCUAACUCCGGGCCAGCAGCCGCGGUAAUACGGAGGAUCCGAGCGUUAUCCGGAUUUAUUGGGUUUAAAGGGAGCGUAGAUGGGUUGUUAAGUCAGUUGUGAAAGUUUGCGGCUCAACCGUAAAAUUGCAAUUGAUACUGGCAGUCUUGAGUGCAGUUGAGGUAGGCGGAAUUCGUGGUGUAGCGGUGAAAUGCUUAGAUAUCACGAAGAACCCCGAUUGCGAAGGCAGCUUACUAAACUGUGACUGACAUUGAUGCUCGAAAGUGUGGGUAUCAAACAGGAUUAGAUACCCGGGUAGUC